AAGAAAAUGAGCCUAUUGACACAUUUUGUAAUUCCACAAGCCUUGUAUGUAAUCAUUUCUUCGUGUCAUUGUUUUUUCGAACUGGCAACAUUGUUUCUCGCCUAGGUUCAAUUCGAUUUUAUGUGACCUAAACACACUCAUGGCAAUGUUAAUUUGCCUCAAUUGAAUACUUGAAUAUUGAGCAGACAGAGAAAUACAACAUUGACAUUUUCAGAACCCCCGAAAAGAAGCCUGCAAACAUCUAAUUGGAAGUGGAAGUCAUCUCGCUGUUCCAACUUCUGGCUGCUCUACCCAAAUGCCUGCAGAUGGCAGAGCAGGCAACAGAUGGCACACAGACAGCAGAGCUGGGGACAGAUAUGCAGGGACAGACUGGCAGAGACAGGGAGUCUCAGGUGCAUAUGAGGCUUCGUGGGCCUGUUCUACAUGCCAUGUGUAUGUAAAUGAAGUCUACGUCGACAGGCAGCCCCAACCUGAGGAGAGAGGCAAAAUCCCCGAUCUUAGCUGUGCACAUAGCAUCUCUUGCUUUUAGUUGUAUCAAAUGACUGCUCGCCACUGGGAGGAUGACGUGUUGGAUAUGGCCCCUCUGCUCCAGGAGAACUCGUCUGCGCUGCCAGAUCAUCCUGACCCCAGAGAUGGAUGGCAUCGGGGUCACCCUGCCCAAGGUCACACGCAACUUCUAUGUGGACGGGCACGUGCCCGCACACCACUAAGUUUAGGGAAGAGAGAGGCUGAGACCCAAAGAGAGCGGUGAGGAUCAAAGCGAGAACUGAGUGAGGAUUAAAGUGAGCUGAGUUAGGGUGAAAGAGGAAGUGCCAUUGCUCAUGGAAGCUCCUUGUGGCACAUAAAUGUCUUAGGUGUGUGGAUAGCAUGGUAUUAGGGUAAAUGCCUAGCCAGGUUUACUGUACAUUUUCUUCGUCUUAACUUUCAAAAUGAUCUUAUGAAUAGGAGUGUACUGUACCCCUCCUCCCUGAGAUAGACCAAAUUCCUCCAUGGAUUCAUACUGUGCUUAGCAAGUUGAAAAGAGAGUUACAAGUUGGACUAAUACAAAUGUGUCCACACAAAUUGCACAAGGUAAGUCCUGUUAGUGUACCCGGCCACACGCUGCUGCUUCAACAGCAUAGCUUCUUGGCUCACCAGCUCGCACUGAGACUAGAUUUCCCAUCCUCUGUCUUGCAAACGCACCUCACCACCCUCUUGAAAUACCUUUAACCAGCUACGCCAGCAAAAAAAUAAAAAAUAAACUCAGAGGAGUGAGUUUAGAAAACUCAACUCGGUUACAUUAGGAUACUAAAGGUCUUGGGAACUUUAAGUUCCUUGAAGUUGUAUAUUGCAGCUGGUUCAAAAACACUUAUCACCUGGAGUCUACACCGUCUUCACCUGGAGUCUACACCGUCUUCACCUAAAGUCUACACCGUCUUCACCUGGAGUCUACACCGUCUUCACCUGGAGUCUACACCGUCUUCACCUGGAGUCUACACCGUCUUCACCUGGAGUCUACACCGUCUUCACCUGGAGUCUACACCGUCUUCACCUAAAGUCUACACCGUCUUCACCUGGAGUCUACACCGUCUUCACCUGGAGUCUACACCGUCUUCACCUGGAGUCUACACCGUCUUCACCUGGAGUCUACACCGUCUUCACCUGGAGUCUACAAUGUCUUCACCUUGUCAGUUGUGUGUAUCUUCUGUUGCCAGUACAGCAUUGAAGUAAAGCAAAUGAACUUGAAGCCAUGAGAUGUAGAUCACAUAGUGGUUGAUAAUGAAUUUAAAACACAUGUACCUUAUCAUGUAAUGACCAAAAGAGUGCCAAGCUCCACUGCCAGAUUUUCAAAAAUGUAAGCGCUGUGAUACGUUGCAUCAAUUAGUCUGUAAGAGAAGUUUCAUCUAGCAAAAUAUUUUUGUUGAUGAGUUCGGAAUCUUCUCAAAUAACAUCAUCUGAAAGCACAAUCAUCCAUUCUGGAGUGGGGGAGUCUAAAGUGACUUGUAUCCAAGCCAAGCUCAUUGGCCACUGUGUAGAACAGGCAACAAUGAAUUACCCUUUUCCUGUCAAAUGGAAAUCCAACUUUUGGUUUACUGUGAGGAGAUGUUCUUAUUUUUACUGAAUGAUUGCUUGUUAGUAUUGUUGUUACAAUGCUCUACCCUCCCUUGCUUCAGGCAAAAGUGUCAUAAGACUUGUCUAAGUCCAGCUGUUGUAAAAAGCUGUGAUUGCAUUUUAGAAGGAGUAAUGGUUAUAUACAGAAAAUAGAGACAGCGAGAGACAGAUUUCAGAGGGUUUUUUCACACAUUUAUUGUAAUUGAAUUAGAUUGGAAGUUUCAACAUGAUCCAACAGUUUAAUAUAAAUAAGUAGGCAAAUAAAUAAAUAUAUCAAUAAAUAUCCUGAGGUUUACAUGAAUACAUUAGUUUGAGGGUCAAGUAGGAUGUGACGUUAUUCAUACGAAAUCAUUCCAAUACAACCGGAAUGCAUGUAAAUCUCAAUGAAACGAAAACUAUUUAUGAAAUAAAAAGCAAAUAUAAGCUUAGUACAUAGUACUUGGUUGUAUAUAAGAAA
Molecule: non-coding RNA, 2548 nt
Organism: Salmo salar (Atlantic salmon)
Lineage: Eukaryota; Metazoa; Chordata; Actinopteri; Salmoniformes; Salmonidae
Source: RefSeq, a predicted model, not a curated record